This 148-nucleotide long non-coding RNA is filed under the name Ixodes scapularis (black-legged tick). RNAcentral's name for it is "uncharacterized LOC121833505". Lineage: Eukaryota; Metazoa; Arthropoda; Arachnida; Ixodida; Ixodidae. The record is from RNAcentral.
UCAAAUGAAGUCUCCACAGAAAUCCCUUGAACCUGUAUGUUUUUUAUGAAAAUACAGUGUGCACCUCAAGACGUCGAGCUAUGUUUGACGACUUAACCAUUGGAACCAGUUGAAUUACGGAGUCAACUUCGCUUUUGUAUUUUUUUUA